Molecule: small RNA, 157 nt
Filed under: Peromyscus maniculatus bairdii (prairie deer mouse)
Lineage: Eukaryota; Metazoa; Chordata; Mammalia; Rodentia; Cricetidae
Description: 7SK RNA (ENSPEMG00000002795.2)
Rfam family: 7SK RNA
About the family: 7SK was discovered as an abundant small nuclear RNA in the mid-70s but a possible function has only recently been suggested. Two independent studies have found that 7SK RNA binds the CDK9/cyclin T complex (known as elongation factor P-TEFb).
Source: RNAcentral
UCCCUCCUGAGGCUGCUGGCCCAGUCAAAGAGGACAACCUUCUCCCACUAGAGAAGAGCCCGUCUUCAGUCAAGAAUAUACUAGUAGCUGUGUUCCUGACUGAACUCCAAACAAGCUCUCAAGGGACUACUUAAGUGGGACCAGUAAGAAUGAAAGA